This is a long non-coding RNA of Helianthus annuus (common sunflower), 510 nucleotides long. RefSeq lists it as uncharacterized. Lineage: Eukaryota; Viridiplantae; Streptophyta; Magnoliopsida; Asterales; Asteraceae. The record is from RefSeq and is a predicted model, not a curated record. The transcript has 2 exons.
UUGAACUCCUCAUCGUAGACGUAGAGCAUAUUCCUUUUUUUUUACCUUUUCUAUUAUUUAGAGCAACUUUCAUUUGACUCCCCACUUCCCCUUUCAUGGCAUUCUUAAUCGGAGAGUUAGGUCAACAAUCACUCCUCAAUUCAAUAGUAAAACUGAAUCCAGCAGUCGAUAUCUUCGGAUUAGUGUUCCUAUUUUUCAUCGAUUUUGGUUACAGAUAGAUUUCAGAUUUCAAAUUCAAAUCCACAUUGUUUAGCUUUUUAUCCCGCUAAUGGAGCUAUAUAUAUGUGAUCGGUGUUACUAUCUAAUUCUCCACUGCAUACGGCUUCCCUCAAUUGCGAGUAUUAGCUUAAAUUUCAGUUCAAUGGCUUUAAAUAAAGUUACUCUCAUCAGUGACCUUGAUGUGUUACUCGAAAGCUACAAACUCAAGGUGAAAAUCAUUCGUUUGUGGAAACAAACUGUACGGUGAAAAUCAUUAAUAUUUAUAUAACAUCACUGUCAAAUUCACUUCAA